Diospyros lotus (date-plum) is the source of this 721-nucleotide long non-coding RNA. RefSeq lists it as uncharacterized. NCBI's taxonomy places the organism in Eukaryota, Viridiplantae, Streptophyta, Magnoliopsida, Ericales, Ebenaceae. The record is from RefSeq and is a predicted model, not a curated record. The transcript has 2 exons.
CCCUAAGUCACCCAUUCUUCCCCCCUAUCUCUCUCUCUUUCUCACUCUCCCCCCCUUCUUUCUCUAUCUCUCUGAACUCCAGCUGUCAACCCCUCCGCCUUUGUCUCCAUCUCCGUCUCCAGUCAUCAUUCUCGUCUUCGGUCGUCCUUGUCGCGUUCUGUUGUUCGAUUCUAAAAGUUGCUGGCGUGGGAAUCAACGGCAAGUUCUGUUUACAAAUCUAAGAAGAAAGUGGACACCGUGAUAGGGAAGGAGAACCUUACUCCUUUCACAUUUUUGGAAGAGGCUCAAAAGGUUUUACAGGACUUGUUUACCCAGUAUCCCCCAGAAGAUCGAGAUUUGGUUGAUUCGAUAGUUGCAGUAUGCAGUGGACAAACUGAAAGAUUACAAGAAAAAAGCGAUGAUUUUUUUCUAAAGCCAUUAAUGAACAAGGAUGACAUUGUGAAAAAGUUGGAUUUGCUUGCUUCAAGUGUAUAAAAGACCCCAAACUUGAAAUAGGUUUGGUGACUUGUGUUGCUGAAUUUUUUAAUAUAUCCUUGGUUGUAUUUACUUGUUUAAAAUUUUAUUUUUCUAUUGGAAUUAUUUUAGGGACACAAUAUUUUUGUAAUUUGUGUUGGAAUGAUAGUUUCUUGUGUUUGAUCCUUCUCAGAUUACUCAAGGAAGGGCUCGGCUUCCUAUUACAUCUUUCAGGGAUGUGAUUACAUCAACAAUAAAAUCUUAUCAG